AGGGCUGGCCUCCAGUAGCCCAGUUUUCAUCAAUUGUGUGAAUAGCUUCAGUGUGUCUGAUGGCAAAUGGCCUAGUAGUGAGGAGAAAUAAAAUACAACUAUUCUGUCCCUUUUGCCCUCCACCCUUCCUCAAGUUUAGUGUUGUUUUUCUCCAGUCCCUGAAGGUUGCCCUACCAUGAAGCAGGCUGAGAUGGUCACCUCAGGCAGCAGAUUUGCUCUGCUCCUCCUCCCAAUAUAUUCAUCACUGGCCCCCUUCCUCCCUCUCCAGCUUUCAGAUGGAGAAGCGAGCACAUCAGCUGUGUCUAAUGUGCUCUCCCUCCUCUUACUGAGAGCAAGGCUCAAGAGGGGUGGCAGCGGUGGCAACCCCCCCCCCCCACACACACACCCAAAAGUGGCUUGCCCCCACCCCUCCAUUUCAGUUUCAGAAAUGUGAAAUGUGGGGCACAGUUCACCCACCCAUGGAUGCACUUUGCUCCUUCUGUGCUCCCUUUAAUUCUUUUCUGGUGCCACUGACUGCGAGCAAAAGGAUGAGAAGGAGACGAGAUACCUCAAUCAUCACUAGAGUGGGUGGACAGGGAGCAGCAGAUAUGUGGUUGUGCAACAUUCUUUAUGUUCCGAUUGCCUUGAGCCCCCACAUCAUUUUAAAAAACACUUGAGGGGACUGGACAAUUGGAGUUUAUGUCGUAUGGAUCUCCCAGUGGCAAUAUAUGCUGUAUAUAUAAUUUCAGCAAAAAAACCCAAUCAAAUUUCAUGAAACACAGUGGGCUUAUAACCCUGUAAGUGGAUUUAUAACCCCAGGGCUGUCUUCAGCCUCACUACACACCUGCUCUGAAUAUAUCCUUUCCUUUUCCAAUCCACUGGCAACAUGUUUUGGCUGGCACUGGCAACGAUGCAUUGAACACUGAAUAAAAUUGUGUUCAUGGAGGAAAGAGUGAGGAUGAGUCAGAUACAAGUGUUACAUCAGUAACACUUCCUUUCCUGUGAAUGAUGCCACAGUAAGUAGGACUGCAACACCUGAACUUUCAAAUUGAAUCAAAGAAUUGUCUUAGUCUGUUUACUAUACAGUUCUUUCCUUGUUGUGAAUACAAACCAAUAUAUCCAGGAAGAGAUGACAAAGAUUGUCUGCAGAGUGACUGUGUGACAUUUCAAGGCAUAGCAAAUGUUCUGAGCAAAUAGAAUAAAUCCACAUUGUUCCAUCCGCUAACCUGUAUCUCCACUGUUAUACAACACUAGAUAAGAACACAGGAACAGCAAUGUUGGAUCAGGCCCAAGGCCUAUUUAGUCCAGCAUUCUGUUUCCUACAGUGGCCCACCAUAUGCCUCUGGGAAGCUCACAGGCAAGAGGUGAGGGCACACCCUCUCUCCUGUUGUUGCUCCCCUGCAACUGGUAUUCAGAGGCAUCUUGCCUCUGUGGCUGGAGGUGGCCUGAAAGUUAGAUACCUCUAUCACAUCCCUGAGGGUCUCAUCAUGGAGCACUCGCUCCGUUAACCUCAUUUAAAGGGAGGGGGAGAUAGGCAGGCUAGCCACCUUGGGAGCACUGGGCUCACCUGCAAGCCCGGUGGUUCCCACGAUAACUGGGAAGCAAGCUAAGCUCCCUUGGCCUGCUUCCCAGUGAUCGUGGGAAUAGCCUCAGUAAAAGAUCCAUGGAAAGGUAGACAGGGUAACUGAAAGGGCAGAGAACAAUGGCCUCCCAAGACACCCAGUUUUCCUUAAUUAGAUUCCCAAAUUUCUAGGAAGAUGGCUCAUGCCAGCGUUUGUCAGGAUCCUGUUCUUACUGCUGCCACUGAUAACAGCACAAAGAUUACAUUUGUAAAGAAGAAUCCUUGUGUCCGGAAGGAAGAGUGUAGGGUUGAGACAGGCCAGGGCAGAGAGCCAAGGCCAGGUUGGCACAAAGCAGAUGCACUGAUCCAAUGAUAAGAGCAAAGGGUUGGUGAUGAAAGGUGUGCCGGUUAUAAUCAAAACGCAGUGACAGAGCAGCCCUGGGGGCAGCUGGGAACACGUUGCAACUGAAGUGCUGUAGGAGGGAAGUGCAAAGGUUGCAAGAAGGCCCAGAUUAAAACUCCUUUUAGGGCAAGCCUGAAGGUGUGCAAGCAACGAGAUGUGAAUUGAGCUCUCACUUUUUAAAAUGAAAAAUGCACUCCUGGGAGGGAAGAGUCCUGAUCAGCACAGCAAUACAGAGGCAGAGAGGUUUAAGCUUCCCCCCCAUGCUGUUUUCUUGGUUGAAAUCCCUCACUGAAGCAACUAUUUGGCCCACAGGGCAAGAUAUACAGUAUCAUAUAUAUAUAUACCUCCUGUUGCUUUCACUAUUACUUGCCUACAAACUGAAGUUGAAUCCAAACAAGACAGAGGUACUCAUGGAGGGAGGCUGGAACUUAGGAAGGGGUUAGAUCUUUCUUUUCUGGAUGGUGUUACAUUCCCCCUGAAAGUUCAGGUACGUAGCUUCGGAGUACUUCUGGACCCAAAGUUCUCCCUGAUAUCUUGGGUUGAGGCAGUGGCCAGGAGUGCUUUUUAUCUGCUUUGGCUGAUAACGCCAGCUACAUCUAUUUCUCGAGACAAACAACCUUAAAACAACGGUGCAGAUGCUGGUGUUAUCCAGGCUUGACUGCUGCAAUGAACUCCACAUUGAGCUGCCCUUGUACGUAGUUUGGAAACUGAGACUGGUGCAAAACGUGGCAGCCAAGUUGAUCUCUGGGGGCCACCUGCAGAGACCACAUUAUUCCUAUUUGUAAUGAACUAUGCUGGUUGCCAAUUAGUUUCCAGGCAAAAUACAAAGUGCUGAUUAUUACCUAUAAAGCCCUCAACUAUUUGGACCCAGGGCAUUUAAAAGAGUGCCACCUCCUUCAUGAACCUGCCACCUAUAAAGAUUAUCAGGGGAAGCUGAACCAGGCCAGUUUGAGUAAUUCGAUUGUGAACCACUUCGAGCUAGUUUGUUGAACUGACCGGCUCAGCCGCUCGGUCAACUGCACCAAACAGUCCGUGCACACUCUUAGUGUGGGACAUUUACUACUGGUUCAGACAUUUGACCUCCCAAUAAUGGUAUACAUGUACUGGGAUACAGGAGUCAAUCUAAGAUUAUAUGCAUCCACCACUGCAUGCAGGAAUCUUUGCAUAAUCUGAGUAUCUAUACAUACAAAUGUUUUCAGUUUCCUGAUUUCUAAAAAAAUUAUGCUCCCAACAGGACUGAUUUCAUAUACAAGUGAUGGGUGCAUGUGAUUCAAGGAUCCAGCUCUAUCCAACUCUGUCUGCAUAUCUGUAAUCUGCUACUGAGAGAGCAAAUGUGAACCAUCCCACAGACUCCCAUGCAAUUGCACUGUCCAUAGGUACAAUGGUAUACACUCACCUGGAUCUUUUUUCUCAAAGAACCCAGAUAUGUAGAAAGGAUGAGAUAAUGACCAGGAGGUCGCUCUGAGAUGGUGUGGAAAAUAGCUUUGUUGAAAAAACUAAAUCAGUUGCUCCUAAGGAAGAGCUGUAAGACUUGAAAUGCAUUGGGCUAAUAAAUCAUUCUCUGUGUACCUCUGAGGGUUCCUUCUUUCGUCAAUGACUGGGAAGUGCCAGGAUGUGAAACUGUGUCUGGGCUGAUAAUAGAAAAUGCUUGUUACUUUCUAAAGAGAAACGAGCUUUUGUGUGACUAAACCAGCAAGCAGAAUACAAAUGGUGAUACUUAGGUGAACUUCACCUUCGAUGCCAAUAAAAUGUUGUCACUUCAUCGUUAGAUAGUAGUGAAGCAAUUCCUCUACAGCGAAGGGAAUGGACGUGGCAAGGAGAGAGGGGUGGAUCUGAAGAAGGACAUUGCUUGGAUUUGGAGCAAGUCACAGAUCUGCUUUGCAAACCCACUGUGUGUGUGUGUGUGUGUGUGUGUGUGUGUGUGUGUGUGUGUGCACGCGCGCACGUGCACUGGUGGCAGUGGAAAGUGCUGACAAAUUGUCCACAUCUGUUUGUCUGUUUUUUCUGGCACACUGAUUUAAUGAAAUUAAAUAAGUAAAUAAAAUUAUUUUAACAGCUUG
This is a long non-coding RNA of Hemicordylus capensis (graceful crag lizard), 4003 nucleotides long. RefSeq lists it as uncharacterized. NCBI's taxonomy places the organism in Eukaryota, Metazoa, Chordata, Lepidosauria, Squamata, Cordylidae. The transcript has 2 exons. The record is from RefSeq and is a predicted model, not a curated record.